UUAAGCGACUAAGCGUACACGGUGGAUGCCCUGGCAGUCAGAGGCGAUGAAGGACGUGCUAAUCUGCGAUAAGCGUCGGUAAGGUGAUAUGAACCGUUAUAACCGGCGAUUUCCGAAUGGGGAAACCCAGUGUGAUUCGUCACACUAUCAUUAACUGAAUCCAUAGGUUAAUGAGGCGAACCGGGGGAACUGAAACAUCUAAGUACCCCGAGGAAAAGAAAUCAACCGAGAUUCCCCCAGUAGCGGCGAGCGAACGGGGAGCAGCCCAGAGCCUGAAUCAGUGUGUGUGUUAGUGGAAGCGUCUGGAAAGGCGCGCGAUACAGGGUGACAGCCCCGUACACAAAAAUACACAUAUUGUGAGCUCGAUGAGUAGGGCGGGACACGUGGUAUCCUGUCUGAAUAUGGGGGGACCAUCCUCCAAGGCUAAAUACUCCUGACUGACCGAUAGUGAACCAGUACCGUGAGGGAAAGGCGAAAAGAACCCCGGCGAGGGGAGUGAAAAAGAACCUGAAACCGUGUACGUACAAGCAGUGGGAGCACGCUUAGGCGUGUGACUGCGUACCUUUUGUAUAAUGGGUCAGCGACUUAUAUUCUGUAGCAAGGUUAACCGAAUAGGGGAGCCGAAGGGAAACCGAGUCUUAACUGGGCGUUAAGUUGCAGGGUAUAGACCCGAAACCCGGUGAUCUAGCCAUGGGCAGGUUGAAGGUUGGGUAACACUAACUGGAGGACCGAACCGACUAAUGUUGAAAAAUUAGCGGAUGACUUGUGGCUGGGGGUGAAAGGCCAAUCAAACCGGGAGAUAGCUGGUUCUCCCCGAAAGCUAUUUAGGUAGCGCCUCGUGAAUUCAUCUCCGGGGGUAGAGCACUGUUUCGGCAAGGGGGUCAUCCCGACUUACCAACCCGAUGCAAACUGCGAAUACCGGAGAAUGUUAUCACGGGAGACACACGGCGGGUGCUAACGUCCGUCGUGAAGAGGGAAACAACCCAGACCGCCAGCUAAGGUCCCAAAGUCAUGGUUAAGUGGGAAACGAUGUGGGAAGGCCCAGACAGCCAGGAUGUUGGCUUAGAAGCAGCCAUCAUUUAAAGAAAGCGUAAUAGCUCACUGGUCGAGUCGGCCUGCGCGGAAGAUGUAACGGGGCUAAACCAUGCACCGAAGCUGCGGCAGCGACACUGUGUGUUGUUGGGUAGGGGAGCGUUCUGUAAGCCUGUGAAGGUGUACUGUGAGGUAUGCUGGAGGUAUCAGAAGUGCGAAUGCUGACAUAAGUAACGAUAAAGCGGGUGAAAAGCCCGCUCGCCGGAAGACCAAGGGUUCCUGUCCAACGUUAAUCGGGGCAGGGUGAGUCGACCCCUAAGGCGAGGCCGAAAGGCGUAGUCGAUGGGAAACAGGUUAAUAUUCCUGUACUUGGUGUUACUGCGAAGGGGGGACGGAGAAGGCUAUGUUGGCCGGGCGACGGUUGUCCCGGUUUAAGCGUGUAGGCUGGUUUUCCAGGCAAAUCCGGAAAAUCAAGGCUGAGGCGUGAUGACGAGGCACUACGGUGCUGAAGCAACAAAUGCCCUGCUUCCAGGAAAAGCCUCUAAGCAUCAGGUAACAUCAAAUCGUACCCCAAACCGACACAGGUGGUCAGGUAGAGAAUACCAAGGCGCUUGAGAGAACUCGGGUGAAGGAACUAGGCAAAAUGGUGCCGUAACUUCGGGAGAAGGCACGCUGAUAUGUAGGUGAAGUCCCUCGCGGAUGGAGCUGAAAUCAGUCGAAGAUACCAGCUGGCUGCAACUGUUUAUUAAAAACACAGCACUGUGCAAACACGAAAGUGGACGUAUACGGUGUGACGCCUGCCCGGUGCCGGAAGGUUAAUUGAUGGGGUCAGCGCAAGCGAAGCUCUUGAUCGAAGCCCCGGUAAACGGCGGCCGUAACUAUAACGGUCCUAAGGUAGCGAAAUUCCUUGUCGGGUAAGUUCCGACCUGCACGAAUGGCGUAAUGAUGGCCAGGCUGUCUCCACCCGAGACUCAGUGAAAUUGAACUCGCUGUGAAGAUGCAGUGUACCCGCGGCAAGACGGAAAGACCCCGUGAACCUUUACUAUAGCUUGACACUGAACAUUGAGCCUUGAUGUGUAGGAUAGGUGGGAGGCUUAGAAGUGUGGACGCCAGUCUGCAUGGAGCCGACCUUGAAAUACCACCCUUUAAUGUUUGAUGUUCUAACGUUGACCCGUAAUCCGGGUUGCGGACAGUGUCUGGUGGGUAGUUUGACUGGGGCGGUCUCCUCCUAAAGAGUAACGGAGGAGCACGAAGGUUGGCUAAUCCUGGUCGGACAUCAGGAGGUUAGUGCAAUGGCAUAAGCCAGCUUGACUGCGAGCGUGACGGCGCGAGCAGGUGCGAAAGCAGGUCAUAGUGAUCCGGUGGUUCUGAAUGGAAGGGCCAUCGCUCAACGGAUAAAAGGUACUCCGGGGAUAACAGGCUGAUACCGCCCAAGAGUUCAUAUCGACGGCGGUGUUUGGCACCUCGAUGUCGGCUCAUCACAUCCUGGGGCUGAAGUAGGUCCCAAGGGUAUGGCUGUUCGCCAUUUAAAGUGGUACGCGAGCUGGGUUUAGAACGUCGUGAGACAGUUCGGUCCCUAUCUGCCGUGGGCGCUGGAGAACUGAGGGGGGCUGCUCCUAGUACGAGAGGACCGGAGUGGACGCAUCACUGGUGUUCGGGUUGUCAUGCCAAUGGCACUGCCCGGUAGCUAAAUGCGGAAGAGAUAAGUGCUGAAAGCAUCUAAGCACGAAACUUGCCCCGAGAUGAGUUCUCCCUGACUCCUUGAGAGUCCUGAAGGAACGUUGAAGACGACGACGUUGAUAGGCCGGGUGUGUAAGCGCAGCGAUGCGUUGAGCUAACCGGUACUAAUGAACCGUGAGGCUUAACCU
This 2900-nucleotide ribosomal RNA is filed under the name Escherichia coli. RNAcentral describes it as "23S ribosomal RNA". It matches the Rfam family "Bacterial large subunit ribosomal RNA". The record is from RNAcentral. Lineage: Bacteria; Pseudomonadati; Pseudomonadota; Gammaproteobacteria; Enterobacterales; Enterobacteriaceae.